AUAGUUCCCUCCUCCGCCAGAGUAACCUUCCACGUCCAGGGGAAACUUUGCUCUAAGUUCGGCACCCUUGAUAUUAGAAUGCAAGGCAACGGAGAACAUGGUCGGUUCAAAGCAAGCCAAGACCCUUUCAAGCAGCCGACUCAAAUUCAAAUCUUGAAGAUCAUAGCCCACAGCCUCAAAACUUGCAUAGCUGAAACCAUCUUCUGGAGUGACGUGGAUUGUGGAAAUUGCACUCCCUUCAAUGGCAUUCAUAGAGUAACCACAUGGGUCAAAAUCAAAAUCACAGAUCU
RNAcentral lists this long non-coding RNA (290 nucleotides) under Populus trichocarpa (black cottonwood). RNAcentral describes it as "long non-coding RNA (PTRI_LNC003876)". The record is from RNAcentral. Lineage: Eukaryota; Viridiplantae; Streptophyta; Magnoliopsida; Malpighiales; Salicaceae.